Molecule: long non-coding RNA, 388 nt
Organism: Corapipo altera (White-ruffed manakin)
Lineage: Eukaryota; Metazoa; Chordata; Aves; Passeriformes; Pipridae
Exons: 3
Source: RefSeq, a predicted model, not a curated record
CAGUUGCCCUUGCUCUGGCUCCAAGCUGCAUCCAGGUUCUUUGCAGUCAGAGUCACCAGCUCUUUGCUCUCCGCAGGCUUGUACCUGCUCCAGCUUCUUGCAAACCAGGUCCAGGAGCUCGGUGUAGGAGAGGCCUGGCUCUGCCCUCAGGGCAACCGUGUACUUGUAAUGCACCUUGAGGACGAAGGGGCUGGAGCACGACCUUCUGAUGCGCUGACCCUGCCCAGGAGUGUGUGCAUUCCAGCCAAACUCCUAUUUCUCCCUUCUCAAGUGCCUCAGGUCAACUAAGAUGUUGCAACUGCACCAGGUUAACUGAGAGUCCCAAAAAGCAGCUCUAGUUGUCUGGUAAAUGCAAGUUUGUGGUACCAACAGGACCUUGGGGUCUGCA